RNAcentral lists this ribosomal RNA (444 nucleotides) under Clostridioides difficile. RNAcentral describes it as "bacterial LSU rRNA". It matches the Rfam family "Bacterial large subunit ribosomal RNA", at positions 1161 to 1609 of the family's 2925-position model. Lineage: Bacteria; Bacillati; Bacillota; Clostridia; Peptostreptococcales; Peptostreptococcaceae. The record is from RNAcentral.
GCGCCGACGAUUUCCGGGGCUAAAACUUACUACCGAAGCUACGGCAUCAGUAAUGAUGGGUAGGGGAGCUUCCCAUACGGGUUGAAGCAUGACCGUAAGGACAUGUGGACAGUAUGGGCGUGAGAAUGUUGGCAUGAGUAGCGAGAUGUGGGUGAGAAGCCCACAGGCCGUAAACCCAAGGUUUCCAGGGGAAGGUUCGUCCGCCCUGGGUUAGUCGGGACCUAAGCUGAGGCCGAAAGGCGGAGGUGAUGGACAACAGGUUGAUAUUCCUGUACUACCGAGAACCGUUUGAGAGAAGGGAUGACCCAGGCGGAUAAGCUAAGCACCAUGUUGGUUAUGUGUGACCAACCAUUGGGGCCGUCAAAGUAGGCAAAUCCGCUUUGAUAAUGCUGUGAUGUGAUGGGGAGCGAAAUUGAGUAGCGAAGUAGCUGAUUUCACCGUGGC